Molecule: ribosomal RNA, 253 nt
Filed under: uncultured prokaryote
Description: partial 16S ribosomal RNA
Rfam family: Bacterial small subunit ribosomal RNA
Source: RNAcentral
UACGUAGGUGGCAAGCGUUGUCCGGAUUUAUUGGGUUUAAAGGGUGCGUAGGCGGUCUUUUAAGUCAGUGGUGAAAUACUUCAGCUUAACUGGAGAGGUGCCGUUGAUACUGGGAGACUUGAGUACUGAUGAGGUAGGCGGAAUGGACGGUGUAGCGGUGAAAUGCUUAGAUGUCGUCAAGAACACCGAUAGUGAAGACAGCUUACUAUGCUUCAACUGACGCUGAGGCACGAAAGUGUGGGGAUCAAACAGG